This 253-nucleotide ribosomal RNA is filed under the name uncultured bacterium. Its description in RNAcentral is "partial 16S ribosomal RNA". It matches the Rfam family "Bacterial small subunit ribosomal RNA", at positions 524 to 776 of the family's 1533-position model. The record is from RNAcentral.
UACGGGGGGGGCAAGCGUUGUUCGGAAUUACUGGGCGUAAGGGGCUCGUAGGCGGCCAACUAAGUCAGACGUGAAAUCCCUCGGCUUAACCGGGGAACUGCGUCUGAUACUGGAUGGCUUGAAACCGGGAGAGGGAUGCGGAAUUCCAGGUGUAGCGGUGAAAUGCGUAGAUAUCUGGAGGAACACCGGUGGCGAAGGCGGCAUCCUGGACCGGCAUUGACGCUGAGGAGCGAAAGCCAGGGGAGCAAACGGG